AUGCGCGUCGAGCGGAAACGACACUAACAAUCCUUCGGGUGCGUUAAUGGGCGUCGAGCGGCGGACGGGUGAGUAAUGCCUAGGAAAUUGCCUUGAUGUGGGGGAUAACCAUUGGAAACGAUGGCUAAUACCGCAUAAUGCCUACGGGCCAAAGAGGGGGACCUUCGGGCCUCUCGCGUCAAGAUAUGCCUAGGUGGGAUUAGCUAGUUGGUGAGGUAAUGGCUCACCAAGGCGACGAUCCCUAGCUGGUCUGAGAGGAUGAUCAGCCACACUGGAACUGAGACACGGUCCAGACUCCUACGGGAGGCAGCAGUGGGGAAUAUUGCACAAUGGGCGAAAGCCUGAUGCAGCCAUGCCGCGUGUAUGAAGAAGGCCUUCGGGUUGUAAAGUACUUUCAGUUGUGAGGAAGGGUGUGUAGUUAAUAGCUGCGCAUCUUGACGUUAGCAACAGAAGAAGCACCGGCUAACUCCGUGCCAGCAGCCGCGG
RNAcentral lists this ribosomal RNA (486 nucleotides) under uncultured Vibrio sp. RNAcentral describes it as "bacterial SSU rRNA". It matches the Rfam family "Bacterial small subunit ribosomal RNA", at positions 55 to 520 of the family's 1533-position model. Lineage: Bacteria; Pseudomonadati; Pseudomonadota; Gammaproteobacteria; Vibrionales; Vibrionaceae. The record is from RNAcentral.